GAGGAACCUGCGUCUGAUUAGCUAGUUGGUAGGGUAAAGGCCUACCAAGGCGAUGAUCGGUAGCUGGUCUGAGAGGAUGAUCAGCCACACUGGGACUGAGACACGGCCCAGACUCCUACGGGAGGCAGCAGUGGGGAAUAUUGGACAAUGGGGGCAACCCUGAUCCAGCAAUGCCGCGUGUGUGAAGAAGGCCUGAGGGUUGUAAAGCACUUUCGGAGGGGAGGAAGGCGUUUCGUCGAAUAGGCGAAAUGAUUGACGUUACCUUCAGAAGAAGCACCGGCUAACUCUGUGCCAGCAGCCGCGGUAAUACAGAGGGUGCAAGCGUUAAUCGGAAUUACUGGGCGUAAAGGGUGCGUAGGUGGAUAAAUAAGUUGGACGUGAAAGCCCCGGGCUCAACCUGGGAUGGUCGUCCAAUACUGUUUGUCUAGAGUAUGGUAGAGGGUGGUAGAAUUUCCGGUGUAGCGGUGAAAUGCGUAGAUAUCGGAAGG
This 488-nucleotide ribosomal RNA is filed under the name uncultured Pseudomonadota bacterium. RNAcentral describes it as "bacterial SSU rRNA". It matches the Rfam family "Bacterial small subunit ribosomal RNA", at positions 224 to 704 of the family's 1533-position model. The record is from RNAcentral. Lineage: Bacteria; Pseudomonadati; Pseudomonadota.